This 313-nucleotide ribosomal RNA is filed under the name uncultured bacterium. RNAcentral's name for it is "bacterial SSU rRNA". It matches the Rfam family "Bacterial small subunit ribosomal RNA", at positions 28 to 334 of the family's 1533-position model. The record is from RNAcentral.
GAUGAACGCUAGCUACAGGCUUAACACAUGCAAGUCGAGGGGCAGCAUGGGAUUAGCUUGCUAAUCCUGAUGGCGACCGGCGCACGGGUGCGUAACGCGUAUCCAACCUGCCCUCUACUCCGGAACAGCCCGUCGAAAGGCGGAUUAAUGCCGGAUGGUGUCACAUGCCCGCAUGAGUGUGUGACUAAAGGCAACGGUAGAGGAUGGGGAUGCGACUGAUUAGCUUGUUGGCGGGGUAACGGCCCACCAAGGCUACGAUCAGUAGGGGUUCUGAGAGGAAGGUCCCCCACAUUGGAACUGAGACACGGUCCAA